GACGAACGCUGGCGGCGUGCCUAAUACAUGCAAGUAGAACGCUGAAGGAGGAGCUUGCUUCUCUGGAUGAGUUGCGAACGGGUGAGUAACGCGUAGGUAACCUGCCUGGUAGCGGGGGAUAACUAUUGGAAACGAUAGCUAAUACCGCAUAAGAGUAGAUGUCGCAUGACAUUUGCUUAAAAGGUGCAAUUGCAUCACUACCAGAUGGACCUGCGUUGUAUUAGCUAGUUGGUGAGGUAACGGCUCACCAAGGCAACGAUACAUAGCCGACCUGAGAGGGUGAUCGGCCACACUGGGACUGAGACACGGCCCAGACUCCUACGGGAGGCAGCAGUAGGGAAUCUUCGGCAAUGGACGGAAGUCUGACCGAGCAACGCCGCGUGAGUGAAGAAGAUUUUCGGAUCGUAAAGCUCUGUUGUAAGAGAAGAACGAGUGUGAGAGUGGAAAGUUCACACUGUGACGGUAUCUUACCAGAAAGGGACGGCUAACUACGUG
Molecule: ribosomal RNA, 495 nt
Filed under: uncultured bacterium
Lineage: Bacteria
Description: partial 16S ribosomal RNA
Rfam family: Bacterial small subunit ribosomal RNA
Source: RNAcentral